GAUAGUGGGAGCGAGUACGAGGCUCGGAGAAGUUGUGGAAUUAGUUCGAACGAUUAAUUUUCGAAAAAACGAACGUUAUUUAGGGGCUCGCGAAAGUUGACUUUUUAUACGUUCAAAAUUUGGGAAAACUUUCUUCAUGAAAGUUGUAGAGCUCGUCGAUACGAUCGCGUGCAUAUGCGGAACGCAAAAAUCGGAGUUCGUAUGAAUUAGUUAUGAUUUUUUGAAAAAGUUUCUAAUUUAGUAUAAAGCUUCCAUUUUUGGAAAUUUCCAAAAAUAAAAACAGAUUUUUCCAAAAUUGGAAAAUCGGCUGCGAUUUUAGUUCCCCGCCGGAAAUCGCCUCCAAAACUUCGAUCGACGAUUUCUUCCUCCUCCGGCCACCGAUCCUCACCAAACUUCUUCCAUUGGCUUCGUAUGGUCCUUGCGCACCUGUCUGUGGCAGCCUUUCACGGCGGCGCGGCCUGUAGCGGCGGCGGCAAGCCCGGUCCGAUUUAAGCUCGAUUUUGGUCAACGCCGGUUUUCUCCUAGCUCCGGCCACCAAAACUUCCGAUCCUUGGCUCCAUGAACUCCCCUCAACCUGCUGAUCAUCAUACUAGGAGGAUUGCACCUAGAGUGACCGGUUUCACGUUCGUCGGAGCUCGGUAAGUUUUCAAUCCGAAACGAAAAUCUUUCGAUCGGUAUAUCUCGAGCUGUAGUGCAUCGUUUUGAUUGAUUCUUUUUCCAGUGGGUUCCCCUUGAUGUUAUUAACAACUCUCUAGAAGGCAUCGAGGCCUGAAAUUGAAGCUUUGACGUCGAAAUCGAGCCUUGCCGGAUUCUGCAAAAUUUUGGAAUUUUUCCGACCACAGAAGCUUUCGAUCGGUAUAUCUCGAGCUACAGACCAUAUUUUUCUGUGAUUCUUGAACCAGUGAGUUCUUCUUGAGUUUCUUAACAACUCUUCAGAAGGAAUCGAAGCCUUAAAUUGACGUUUUUACGUCGAAUUGGAGCUCGCCGUUUUCUGCAGUUUCUCGCCGGUUUCUGGAAAAUUCCGGCCACCUUCAUACUGUUCAAGGUGAUUGACGGUUUGAGUUAGUGGACGAUUAUGGAUCGUAUUUUGAGCGGAAUUGAAGACGCAGCGGGAUUAUCGAGCGGGUAAUCCUACAGGACAGGAGAACCAGGACGGUGAUCGUGCGGUUAGAGCAAUUGUUAGAGUUUUACAGCAAUUGUACGUUGUGAGGUGUGUUAUGCUCAUUUGAGCUUUACAAUAUUGCUUGUGAGAGUGAAUUGUAAUAAUGAACUCGAAGUUUCGAGAUUUGGAUUUUGUAAUUGUAAUUAUUCAUGUUUCGGAUUUGAAUUUAUUAUUCAAAAUUCGGGGCGUGACAGUUUGGUAUCAGAGCGUAAGGUGCAUAUUUGGUGAUGUGUCAAUACCUUCCGAGUGAUGGCCCGGCUGCAGCGGAUCCCCAUCGUGUGCUCUUCGGUAUUGGCUAAGUCAUUGGGUAUGCGUGAGUGUUGGGAGUUGUUUAGGCCGCUAGGUCGUUUUAGGAACGUGAAUACCUUCCCUAUAGUAUUGACUUGGUUAAUAUGAAUUUGUAUUUGACUUAUACUGUGUUUUAAGUGUUAUACAAGUAUUAGCCAAGCAUACUAUACUCCUUAGGUGAUGGAUAUUCGAAGGGGUUGUACUUAGAACCUUACAGUUGUCUUGUAGGUUCGUAUGGGAAUAAGUUCAGUGGCCGCGAGUUACAAUCCUUGAGGAAUAGGAACCUCUUGAUUCAACUCUGUUAAGUCAACGAGGAUUGUUUUAUGGAAAUGA
Rosa rugosa (rugosa rose) is the source of this 1783-nucleotide long non-coding RNA. RefSeq lists it as uncharacterized. The transcript is spliced from 3 exons. The record is from RefSeq and is a predicted model, not a curated record. Lineage: Eukaryota; Viridiplantae; Streptophyta; Magnoliopsida; Rosales; Rosaceae.